RNAcentral lists this ribosomal RNA (253 nucleotides) under uncultured bacterium. Its description in RNAcentral is "partial 16S ribosomal RNA". It matches the Rfam family "Bacterial small subunit ribosomal RNA", at positions 524 to 776 of the family's 1533-position model. The record is from RNAcentral.
UACAGAGACCUCAAGCGUUAUCCGGAUUCAUUGGGCGUAAAGCGCAUGUAGGCGGACAUAUUAGUCAGACGUCAAAUCUCCGAGCUCAACUCGAAAACUGCGUUUGAAACGGUAUGUCUUGAGAGAGUGAGAGAUUGAUGGAACAUAUGGUGUAGCAGUGAAAUGCGUUGAUAUCAUAUGGAACACCAAAGGCGAAGGCAUUCAAUUGGCACUCUUCUGACGCUCAGAUGCGAAAGCGUGGGUAGCGAAUGGG